CCCGCCGGCGACCGGUGCACGGGUGAGUAACACGUAUGAAACCUGCCCGUAGCAGGGGGAUAAGCGGAAGAAAUUCCGUCUAAUACCGCGUAACAACCCAUGGAGGCAUCUCUGUGGGUUUAAAGGAAGCGAUUCCGGCUACGGAUGGUCAUGCGUCGCAUUAGCUUGUUGGCGGGGUAACGGCCCACCAAGGCGACGAUGCGUAGGGGUUCUGAGAGGAAGGUCCCCCACACUGGUACUGAGACACGGACCAGACUCCUACGGGAGGCAGCAG
Molecule: ribosomal RNA, 274 nt
Filed under: uncultured bacterium
Lineage: Bacteria
Description: partial 16S ribosomal RNA
Rfam family: Bacterial small subunit ribosomal RNA
Source: RNAcentral